GAUGAACGCUGGCGGCGUGCCUAAUACAUGCAAGUCGAGCGAACAGACGAGGAGCUUGCUCCUCUGACGUUAGCGGCGGACGGGUGAGUAACACGUGGAUAACCUACCUAUAAGACUGGGAUAACUUCGGGAAACCGGAGCUAAUACCGGAUAAUAUAUUGAACCGCAUGGUUCAAUAGUGAAAGACGGUUUUGCUGUCACUUAUAGAUGGAUCCGCGCCGCAUUAGCUAGUUGGUAAGGUAACGGCUUACCAAGGCAACGAUGCGUAGCCGACCUGAGAGGGUGAUCGGCCACACUGUAACUGAGACACGGUCCAGACUCCUACGGGAGGCAGCAGUAGGGAAUCUUCCGCAAUGGGCGAAAGCUUGACGGAGCAGCGCCGCGUGAGUGAUGAAGGUCUUCGGAUCGUAAAACUCUGUUAUUAGGGAAGAACAAAUGUGUAAGUAACUAUGCACGUCUUGACGGUACCUAAUCAGAAAGCCACGGCUAACUACGUG
Molecule: ribosomal RNA, 497 nt
Filed under: uncultured bacterium
Lineage: Bacteria
Description: partial 16S ribosomal RNA
Rfam family: Bacterial small subunit ribosomal RNA
Source: RNAcentral